This 251-nucleotide ribosomal RNA is filed under the name uncultured bacterium. Its description in RNAcentral is "partial 16S ribosomal RNA". It matches the Rfam family "Bacterial small subunit ribosomal RNA", at positions 110 to 354 of the family's 1533-position model. The record is from RNAcentral.
UAAACACGUAGGGAACCUGCCCAUGCGGCCGGGACAACUUCCGGAAACGGAUGCUGAUACCGGAUAAGGAAAGCGAAGGCAUCUUUGCUUUGUUAAAGGAGCUGCAAGGCUCCGCGCAUGGAUGGACCUGCGGUGCAUUAGCUGGUUGGUGAGGUAAAGGCUCACCAAGGCGACGAUGCAUAGCCGGCCUGAGAGGGCGAACGGCCACACUGGGACUGAGACACGGCCCAGACUCCUACGGGAGGCAGCAG